UCAACGCGGGAAAUCUUACCGGGUCCGGACACACUGAGGAUUGACAGGUAACGUUAUACACACAAAUAUAUUUACUCUCGGGUAUUUGUACUUCGCUGUGUAUAUAUAAAAUAUGCUAGUCCUUUCAUGAUUAUGUGAUAGGUGGUGCAUGGCCGUUCUUAGUUCGUGGAGUGAUCUGUCUGCUUAAUUGCGUUUCACUAAGGAUCUAUAUUCAUAUUACGCAUAGCAUUUUGACCCCUUUAUGCUUCGGUAUAAAGCUGCGCGUCAAACCUUGCUAUCUGCGUAUAUUAGAUCCUGAAAGCAACGAACGUGACCGCAACCUCUUGUUGCCUUUAACUAGGUUUUGCUUACAUAUA
RNAcentral lists this ribosomal RNA (356 nucleotides) under Nonionella sp. T1. RNAcentral's name for it is "SSU rRNA". It matches the Rfam family "Eukaryotic small subunit ribosomal RNA", at positions 1200 to 1417 of the family's 1831-position model. The record is from RNAcentral. Lineage: Eukaryota; Foraminifera; Rotaliida; Nonionidae.